CCAGUUCUUUCAGGUUGCCAUGGGUCCUUCACUUGUUUUAGUCCAUUCUUUUCGAACUCAUGCCAUUGAACCUUAUGAGAUACUUGAAAGGGUUGGACCAGUUGCAUAUAAAUUGGCUUUGCCACCUGAGUUAGACAAGAUCCACAAUGUCUUCCAUGUUUCUAUGCUUAGAAGAUAUCGUUCUGAUCCAUCUCAUGUUCUUCCAGUCGAAUCUAUUGAGGUUAAUCUUGACUUGACAUUUAAUGAAGAACCUAUUUUAAUUCAAGCUCGAGAAGUAAAGCAACUUAGAAACAAGAGAAUUCCCUUAGUAAAGGUACUUUGGAGGAACCAUUCUGGAAAAUAAGCUACGUGGGAAAGAGAAGAAGACAUGAGAACCCAGUAUCCGCACUUGUUUCGGACUAGUGUAAGGUAAAUUUUGAGACGAAAUUUCUUUAAGGGGGAGAGAGUUGUAACACCCCAAAAAUGCUAACAAGAGUAGCAUGUCGAUAAACCACUGCUUAAUUAUUACAAUAUGUUUAAUUCUCAUUUUGGGAACUUGAAAUAAUGUUAUAUUUGCAAUCUUGCUUAAAAUAAAUGUCAUCGUAAUUUAAUGUAUUGUAUGGGGGUAUUUGCAUAAUGUUUAAAUUAGAAAUAUGUAUAGCUUGAAAAGGAGGUGAAGGAUAUAUAUAUAGGUGUAUAUGUAUGCAUUUGGGCCGCACACAAGUAUUUGGGCAGCCAACUUUUAUGGACAGCUGUGUAUAUGAUAAGCACCUCUUGUGUUACUAUAUUUUGACACCUCCUCUUAAGAAAAUUGUCUCACCUGAAGUAUAAGUCCCUUAGAACAUUAUCUAACCUGUUGUUCUUCAAGAUCACAAGAGAAAAUCUUGGACCUUUUAGCUGGAAAUUGAGUUACACUCUUCUUUUCUGUAAGUGGUAAAUCCUAUUUUUGAGUUGGGUAGCGUUUAGUAGAUUAAGCAUAUCUCGUUCUAUAGAACUUUGUUUACUGUGAAUAAAUAUGAUUUGGGAAGAUAAUUCUAUAUUUACAAUCUUAUGUUUAUGUUAAACUCUAAUUUAGUUGUUAUGGAUUCGAAAUAUGGGACGCAUCAUAGGACAAGUUCUGUCCAGAUUCUGAAGUUUGAAAUCCUGUAUGGACAACUGUUAGUGUUUUGAAUAUCUCUUUUUAUCCAAAAUACAUUUUUUGGUGAUUCUUAGUUGUUUGCAACCUUAAGAAAGGUACCCACAUCUUUCAUGAAGAGUAUACAGUCCAGUUUUGCCGUUUACCAUUUCAAAACUUAUUUGCGACAGGAUGCACUAGGAUGGCCAGAAUUUACUGUUUGGGAGCAUAGUCGUAUUUGUACAAGCUAGACUUACUUGUGAUGAUAACCCUAUGUUACGUCAUCAUUAUUGAGCUGCUAGACAGUAAAUAAGUUAUUAAAUUCAUUUUUUAAAGGUUGUAUAUCCUCGUGUACAAGUUGAAGACUUUGAUACGCUGGUAGGUCUACGGUUUGACUCGUGGAGUUUUGUUGGACUUUUUUGUGCUAAAGAACUUAGGUUUUUGUAUAAACUUAUACUUUUUACCCUUUUUUACCUGCUGGUAUAAAUGAAAGUUAUCUUGGUACCUUGGUUACCUCUUGUCACUUUGCAUUGUUGUAUUGGUAUUCUUUAAUACAUUAAAGACGCUUAUGUAACUCCCCCACUUGUACGGAUUGUUUGAUCACUUAGCACUCUUGUUGGGACCUCAUUUUUCUUGUGGCUGUUACUUUGUCACUCUUGGCAUGCCUCUUGGUUCGGAUCAUUUGUCAUCUUGACUCUGGAUUUUCAGUUCGUCUUAAGAAUGGAAGUUGUCCAUUUUAAGUACGAAGUAGGAAGCUAUUUUUUAAUAUGGUUCUUGGUUCUCUUGAUUAUUGGGUUUUGACCCUUCUUGAUACCUUCUCGUGCUUGGUGUGACGACAUGAUGUAUAUAUUGGGUGAGCCUUGUUAUUAAAUCUCUUGAAAAGUUGUGCUAUGAGCAGUCUUAACAUUUAGACCUUUAUAUAUUGAGCUUGAUACUCCUUGAAUAUUGUUUAAUUGAUUUACUGAUUUUGUUUCGAUCGUGCUGCCCUUGACUUGAGAAUGUUAACUUGCUGAAUUUAAGUGCUCCAAACCUAUAGUUUGUACACCACUAAGUUCUAUGCUUUGCGAUAGUUGUUUCUAUCGUAGGGGAUGUUCGCGAAGAUUCUUGAAGCUGGCCAUUGAUGAUGGAGAUUUUGAACUCCUUAAGGAAGAUCACAUUUGCAUAUAGGCAUAUAUAUUUUGUAUAACCUUGGAAAUUUUACAUGAUCUUUGUGUUGUAUAUAUUUACAGGAGAUUUUGAGGGCUGAUUUGGUCAUUUCACCAUGGAUUGUAAUAUUAGUAUGGUUAUACGUUUUUAUCUUUUUGGGGUGUGUAAACCCAAGUCUUGUAAUAUACUAAUUUUCUAUAUUUCUUGAAAGUUGUGUGAAGCAUGAGCCGACUGGUUUUGGUAAUCGGAAGCUUGUAAUAUUCUUGUUAUUUCACCCUCGAGUGUGAGGUUAACAUAUGCAUGAAGAUCUGGUCGGUUAAUUGCUUAAAUGUUAUUUUAUUUUUUUGGAGUUCGUUAUGAAUCUAAUCCCUGUACUAGAUUAAAAUCAGUAUGCCCUCAUUAAUUUUUUAAAUAUCACAAGUAUUUAAUUAGAUUUCUUGUUUAAGUAGUGGUAUCGUUUUGAAAGGAUCGCUACAAUAGUGAUCAUUUGAGGAUUGUAUUGCAAAUUCUCAAGGACCAACAACUCUAUGCAAAUUUUAGUAACUGUAGGUUUUCGUUAAGGUCUGUAGCUUUCCUUGGCCAUAUAGUUUUAAGAAAGGACAUUGAGGUAGAUCCAAAGAUGAAGGAUGCGGUGAAGAGUUAGCCUAGACCUCUAUCACCGACAGAUAUUAGAUGCUUCUUGGGUUUGGCCGGUUAUUGUAGAAGGUUUGUUGAGAGGUUUUCCUCCAUUGUUUAUCCUUUGACGGCUUUGACUCAAAAAAAGGCCAAGUUCCUAUGGUCGGAAACUUAUGAGAGAAAUUUCCAAGAGUUGGAAGAUAGACUUACUUCCGCUAUGGUAUUGACUUUACCGGAAUGUAUGGAUGGCUUCAUGGUAUAUUGUGACACCUCUAGAGUUGUAUUGGGAUGUGUGCUUAUGCCAAAUGGUAAGGUGAUUUACUAUGCUUCAAGGCAACUAAAGGUUCAUGAGAAGAAUUAUCCUACCCAAAAUCUUCAAUUAGCGGCGGUGGUAUGUGCCUUAAAGAUUUUGAGGUAUUGUUUGUAUGGGUUCAUGUUGAUGUGCUCACCGAUCACAAAAGUUUGCAAUAUGUGUUUACACAAAAAGAGCUAAAUCUUCGCCAACGAAGGUGGCUAGAGUUAUUGAAUGAUUAUGGUGUGAGUGUUCUGUAUCACCCCGGUAAAGAAAAUGUGGUGGUUGAUGCCCUUAGUCGAGUAUCCAUGGGUAGUGUUUUCCAUGUUGAGGAUGAGAAAAAAUAGUUGGUUCAAGAUGUUCAUAGGUUUGCCCGAUUGAGAGUUCAACUUGUGGAUUCCACCAAGGUGGUAUUAUGCUCCAUAAUGGUUCCGAAUCAUCUUUCUUGGCCGAUUUUAAAGCAAAACAAUGUCUUGACCUGACCUUAGUUGAAUUGAAAGAGGCAGUACUAAAGAAGUUCGUAGAUGCUCUCUCCCAAGAGGGAGAUGGUGUCCUAAGGUACCAAGGUCAUUUGUGUGUUCGGAAUUUUGAUUACUUGAGGGAAUAGAUUCUAUCAGAAGCCCAUAGUUUUCGAUAUUCUAUUCACCCGGGAGCCACCAAGAUAUACCGUGAUUUGCGGAAGAUCUAUUGGUGGAAUGGGAUGAAGAAGGAUAUUGCGGGAUUUGUGGCUAAGUGUCCUAAUUGCCAACAAGUAAAGGUUCAGCAUCAUAAAUCGGGAGGUUUAUCCCAAGAUAUUAGCAUUCCUACUUGGAAGUGGGAAGAUUUGAAUAUCGACUGUAUAGUGGGAUUGCCCCGAACUCGGCACCAAUAUGAUUCGAUUUGGGUUAUAGUUGACCGAAUGUCAAAGUCGGCCCAUUUGAUUCCCGUCAAGGUUUCCUAUACAGUGGAAUAUUAUGCUAAGUUGUACUUGAGAGAGAUGGUAAGGUUGCAUGGAGUGACCAUGUCCAUUAUCUCUGAUAGAGGUACUCAAUUUACUUCUCAGUUUUAGAAGUCCUUCCAAAAGGGUUUGGGCACUAAAGUUAACCUUAGCACAACUUUUUACCCCCAAACCGAUGGGAAAUAGGUAAGAACAAUCAAAACAUUGGAAGACAUGUUGAGGGCUUGCGUGAUUGAUUUCAAGGGAAAUUGGGAUGACCAUUUGCCUUUGAUAGAAUUUGCCUAUAAUAAUAGCUACCAUUCCAGUAUUUGUAUGUCUCCGUUUGAGGCUCUUUACGGUAGGAGGUGUAUAUAUCCUCUAGGAUGGUUUGAGGUUGGUGAGGUUUCUUUGAUAGGACCCGAGUUAGUUAAUGAGGCUAUAGAGAAGAUUCGACUCAUUAGAGAGAGGUUGAGAAUGGCACAAAGUCGACAAAACUCUUAUGCCGAUGUUAGAAGGAGAGACCUUGAAUUUGGUGUGCAUGAUUGGGUUUACUUGAAAAUCUCACCCAUGAAGGGUGUAAUGAGGUUUGGUAAGAAAGGGAAACUUAAUCCCCAUUUUGUAGGCCCAUAUCAAAUUUUGAGACAUUUUGGUAAGGUUGCAUAUGAGCUUGAUUUGCCAAAUGAGUUGGCAUCAGUGCAUCCGAUUUUUCAUAUCUCUAUGUUGAAAGAGUGUGUUGGAGAUCCGACAUCAAUAAUUAACCUAGAAUGGUUUGAAGUGUUAGAGAACCUUUCUUAUGAAGAAGUUCCGGUUGAGAUCUUAGUGAUGUCAUUUGGGUUGAGCAAUGCCCCUGCACCCUUAAUGUAUUUGAUGAAGGUGUGUUCAAACCGUUCCCGGAUUCUUUUGUUAUCAUCUUUAUUGAUGACAUCUUGGUUUAAUCGAAGAUUAAGGAAGAGCAUGCCAACCAUCUUCGUAUUGUUUUGGCUGUCCUUGGAAAACAAAUGUUGUAAGCAAAAUUUACCAAGUGUGAGUUUUGGUUGACUUCAGUUGCCUUUUUAGGGAUGUGGUUUCUAAUGAAGGGUUAAUGAUAGAUCCCCGAAAGAUUGAAGCAGUCAAAAACUAGGUUCGGCCUAGCUCUGUGAUAGAAGUUAGGAGUUUUGUGGGGCUCGCUAUUUACUAUCAUCGGUUUGUGAAAAAAUUUGUUUUUGUCACCACACAUUUGAAAAGGCUGACUAAAAAAGAGGUGCCUUUCGAAUGUACUGACAAAUGUGAAGAGAGCUUCCAGAAACUCAAGACUCUUUUGACCACAACACCUAUUUUUACACUACCGGUGAAAGGUAAUGAUUUCAUUAUUUAUUGUGAUGCUUCACAUUCGGGCUUCAGUGUUGUGUUGAUGCAGGAAAGAAAUGUCAUAUCUUAUGCAUCGUGACAGUUGAAGGUGCAUAAGAGAAACUACCCGACACAUGACUUGGAGUUGGUAGCGGUAGUAUUUGCUCUCAAGAUCUAGUGGCAUUAACUUUAUGGUGUCAAGUAUGAGGUGCUUACUGAUCAUCAUAGUCUACAACAUGUAUUCACUCUAACAGACCUAAAUUUGAGAGAGCGAACGUGAAUGGAGUUACUCAAGGAUUAUGAUGUUAACAUCCAAUAUCAUUCAGGUAAGGCUAAUGUGGUGCCAGAUGCAUUAAGUCGGAAGACGGUGAGUAUGGGUAGUCUAUCUUUCUUAGGUGUGUCCAAACGACCUUUGGCCAAUGAGAUUCAGACCUUGGAGUCUAAGUUCAUGCAGUUGGGUAUCUGAGAGAAAGGUGGGGUGUUAUCCAGCAUUAAGGUUAGGUCCACAUUCCUUGAGGAUAUCUAGGCCAAGAAGUUUGAGGGUGAGAGUUUGAAUGAGCUCAGAAAGAAGACACAAUCUAGUAAGGCAGAAGAUGUGGCUCUUGACGCGGGUGGUGUAAUCAAAUUUAAGGGAAGAAUUUUGGUCCCCGAGGGGAUGACUGGAUUUAGAAGAUGUUGAAAGAGUCUCAUGGUUCGCAGUAUUCCAUUCACCCGGGUGUGACCAAGAUGUACCGAGAUUUAGAACGACUUUAUUGGUGGCCUGGCAUAAAGUAUGAGCACCAAUGGACUGCUGGUUUGCUUCAGUGAAUGCCAAUUCCUUAAUGGAAGUGGGAAAGGAUAGCCAUGGAUUUCGUAGUUGGUCUCCCCAAAACCUUGGGGAAGUUUGACUCAAUUUGGGUAAUGGUUGACAGACUCACUAAGUCAGCCCACUUCAUUCCGAUUAGAUGAAACUAUAAUGCUCGGCAAUUGGCUAAGGUUUAUGUGAAAGAGAAAGUCAGGCUGCAUGGGGUACCUCUUUCUAUCAUCUCAGACCAUGGUAUGUAGUUCACAUCCAAGUUUUGAGGAAAAUUUCAUGAGGAGUUGGGUACUCAACUCACUUUUAGCACAACUUUCCAUCCACAGAAGGAUGGGCAGUCAGAGAGAACUACUCAAGUUUUAGAGGACAUGUUGAGGGCAUGUUUGAUUGACUUUGGAGGGCAUUGAGAUAAGUUCCUACCUAUGUGUGAGUUCUCUUAUAAUAACAGUUACCACUCCAGCAUCGAGAUGGCACCGUUCGAGGCACAUUAUGGAAGGGGAUGUAGAUCACCCAUAGGGUCGUUUGAGGCUGGAGAUGUGAAACCUUUGGGGUUGAUUUGGUGAAAGAUGCUCAGGAUAAGGUGAGAAGUAUCCAAUCUAAGCUUCUAGUGGCCCAGAGUUGACAGAAAAAGUAUGCGUACCGUAAGGUAAGGGACAUGACAUUUCAGGCUAGUGAGCAAGUUCUUCUAAAAGUGUCACCCAUAAAGGGGUGAUGAGAUUCUGCAAGAAGGGCAAGCUUAGUCCUUGAUACAUCUAGGCAUUUGAGAUUCUUUAUUGUGUAGGGCCUAUGGCUUAUAAGUUGGCUUUAUCUCGUAGCCUCUAUGAAGUCCAUCCAGUGUUCUAUGUGCGAAUGUUGAAGACGUAUCAUGGGGACGAAGAUUACAUCAUAAAGUGGGACUAAGUUUUGUUAGACAAAGACCUUCAGUAUAGGGAGGAACCGGUUGCAAUUCUUGAUCGCGAAGUCCGAAAUCUGAGGACCAAGGAGAUAAAGUCUGUGAAAGUUCAAUGGAAACAUCAUCCGAUUGAGGAAGCUACUUGGUAAACCGAGAAGGACAUGCAAGAUAAGUAUCCCCAGUUAAUUGACGAUUCAAGUACUAGUCUACUCCUACCUUAGCCCAUUUCUCCUAGUUUGAUACUAGGGGACGAGUGAUACAUAAAUUGGUAUCUCUUGUAACAAUCUGUUCCCUUCGUUAUGGGAAAGCCAAUGGAGAAAGAAUUUGGGCCAGGAAACCUAUAAGUAGUAACUUGGAAAUUUCUAGCCUAGGCAAGACUUGGACAAAAUAUUUGUCAGGUAAGGUAUACGGAAAUCCGUUAAUGGAUGAGGGAUUGAAUUAUUAGUUUGAUCAAGUGAAUAGAUAGCCAAUACGUUAAGGAGCCUGUACGACUUUACGGAAUCGAAUUUGGGCGAGUAGAACUCCUCAACUGAUCUUGGCGUGAAAGGGUAGUUUUAGAAAGUCGAGGUUUGAAGGUGUGUUGUAAAAUGGGAGCUUGGAACUCAAAUUCUGAGUUUCUGUAUCCGUGCAAGUCGUUGAGACGAGAUUAAUCCCUCUAUGGCGGGGUGACUAUGGUGGGAUGGGGCCACACAAGGGGGGCUAGUCGCGACUUAAAUCGGGGGAAAACCUCAAAAUCGUUAUUCUCUGAAAAACUUCAUUCUUAAGAGCUAAGGGAAGACCCAAGGCUGUUUCUUAUCAGAUUCCCACUAAUUCUCAUGCUAAAGGUUAGUUAUUUACUCCCCUAAUCCGUAUUUUGAUUAUUAGAAUUUAGAAUCCUUGUAAAUUAUCGUUGAGGAAGGGUUUUGGCUUGAAGUUAAUGUUGGGAAAAGUCCUAGUUGAAUAUUAGGAACAUGGGUUUGGCCUUGGGUUGAAAUUUUGAUAUAAUCCGGGUAAAUUAGGCCUUGUUUAUUGAUCGUUGCAUUAAUUACUUGUUUUAGACCAAGAAUAAGCUAAAAGACUUUGGAAAGGGAAGGCUUAUUCACUCUCUCGAGCUGAAUGUGUGGGAGAAGGAUUAGGGUUCACUUUCUCGAGCUGAACCCAUGUCGACUCAAUACCACCGGCUAUCAAUUUAGUAGUCUUAGUUUUACGACCUCUUUCUCGAGCAAGCCAAAAACACUAAUAUGAAAUGGUAUUUGCAAUACAAUCCCAUUAAGUUCAUACACAACUACUAAAUGAAAUCACAUUUAAACAACAAAUAAACCAUCAACAAGCAAGACCCAACAAAUAAUUUAACCCAUAUUCACAAAAUCACACCCCAAGAAUUUGGAUUUUAGCUAGACAUGUAAAAGAGAUAAAAAUUUAUACCGAUAUAAGUUUCCAUCAACUGGGUAUGAAGAAUAAAGUCUUAAAACACGUCAAUAGAGAAGAAUCUUCAAGAUCCACGUCCAAUUUCUUUGAGUUGAAACCCUUUGAAUCUUCAAGGUCUUAGAACAAAGUCCCCAAAACCCUCUAAAACUUAAACUCUCCAAAAACUGUCCAAAGUUCGAAUAAUAGAAGUAAUAUAUUUAUACAAGAAAUUUAAACAAGUAUUUAUAGUGUUUGAAAAUUUGUGCUGCGGAGGACCGGUCGGCGCAGUUAGUCGGAAUCGCCGAUACGCUCAGCGAUCUGCCUUUUGGUCGAUUUCAUCGCCUUCCUGCUUUAGCCUUCAGCCGCUUCGCGUUUUGAGUCGUUAGGCGAUAUGGUACUGCUUUGCGGAACUGAUCGACGAUGCGCCGACUGCUCCAUUUCAUCGCCAACUUGACCUUUCCUUCAGGGCUCAGCACACUGGAACAAAAGGCGAUCUCCAGGCCCAUCGGUGACUCGCCAACUGGGCUCGGCGAUCUUCUGGCCUUCAUUUCUUCAUUCUUUUCAGCCGCCUUGUUCCUUCUUGCCAAGUAGUGUCCAUGCUUUGCCUCAAACUCUAAAUACCUGAAACUUAAGGAUUUCUUCAGAUAUAGAGAGUAAAUAUGCAUUUGAGAACACUAAUUCUAUCAAAAUAUAGCCUUAAAUGAGUCCAAUUUGUGGACUCCUCAAUGACUAAAGAAAGUAUGCACUGGAAGGAAGUGUGUCGACUUGGUCAAUCGAUCUACGAUGACCCAAAUGCUGUCAAUACCUCUGGAGGUCCGAAGAAAACCCAUUAGGAAAUCCAUGGUGAUGCGCUUCCACUUCCACUCAUGAAUGGGUAAUCUCUACAACUCAUCACUAGGCCUCAAAUGCUCGGUAUUCACAUACUGGAAAUACAAGCAACGGGACACGUAGUCUGAGAUGUCCCUCCUCAUACCACUCCACAAGUAAUGGUGCCUCAUGUCAUGAUACAUGUUAGCGGUUCUUGAAUGGAUAAAAUGCAUGGAAUCAUGAGCCUCGUUAAGGAUUAGAUGAAUAAAAUCCCAAACUCUCGGAACACACAACCGGUCAGCAAACCACAAAAUCCCUUAUGAACCAAAAGUAGUCUACCCUGCAUCGCAUGUCAAGAUUCUAUCUUUAAGUUCCACCAGAGACUCAUCCUCGCACUAACGACUGCGGAGCUAAUCAAGCAAGGAUGACUGAACUCCCACAUAAGCUAACACCCGACUGGAAUCUUAAACAUCAAUCCUGAUCAUUUGAAUGGCUAAGGACUUAAUGCCAAAAGCUAAAGGUCUCUCUGAAAAAAAAAAAAAAGAAGGCUAGACUACCAAUACUCCCCACCUUCUAGCUCAAGGCAUCCGCUACUACAUUUGCCUUGCUGGGAUGGUAAAGAAUAGAGAGGUCAUAGUCUUUCGAGAGCUCAAUACAACGCCACUACCUCAAAUUAAGAUCUCUUUUGGUCAUAAUAUUGAAGGCUCAAGUGAUUAGUGUAGAUCUCGCAAUGAACUCCAUAUAGGUAGUGUCUCCGGAUCUUAAGCGCGAAAACUACCGCCGCCAACUUCAAGUCAUGAGUGGGGAAGUUGCGCUCAUGGAUCUUAAGUUGCUUGGACGCAUAAGCAAAAACCCAACUCUGCUGCAUCACCACACAAGCUAAAACAACGCCGGAUGCGUCACAAUAUACCGUGAAGCCAUCGCCCUCAACUAGAAGAGUCAAUAUAGGAGCAGUGGUAAGAAACUCCUUAAGCCUCAAAAAGCUCCUCUCGCACUCCUCCGACCACACAAAGGGAACAUCCAGGCCAGUCAAUCGAAUCUCUAUCAAUGUAGUGGGCCUAGCUUAACCACGAAUAUCCUUAAUAUUCACCGAAUCCACCAUAAUGCCAUCCUUGGACACCACGUGCCCCAAUAAUUCUAUGGACUCAAGCAAAAACUCACACAUUGAGAACAUGGCAUAAAGCCGAUGAUUUCUCAAAGUCGGGAGUACUAUUUUCAAAUAUUGUUGAUGCUCAGUAUGGCUCCGCGAUUAUACCAAGAUAUCAUCAAUGAAGACGAUGAUGAAGGAGUCCAAACAAGGCCUAAAUACACUAGUCAUAAAAUCCAUGAAUGUUGUAGGGGCAUUAGUCAACCAAAAAGAGAUCACCAGGAACUCAAAAUGGCUAUAACAAGUCCUAAAUGUUGUCUUAGGGAUGUCCAUUGCUCUAAUCCUCAACAGAUGGUAGCCGGAUCUCAAGUCAAUCUUAGAUAACAAUGUGGCUCCCUAAAGCUAGUCGAAUAGAUCAUCAGUACGGGCCAUAGGAUAACGGUUCUGCAUCGUCACCUUAUUCAACUGCUUGUAAUCAUUACAUAUCUGCAUUGUACCCGUCUUUUUCUUCACAAACACGACUUGGCACCCCAAGGUGAUACACUAGGGCAAAUGAAUCCCUUACCCAAGAGAUCAUGAAAUGAACACUGUGCUCCUUGAGCUCUGUGGGGGGCCAUACUGUACGGUCGGAUAGAAAUAGGAUGAGUACCCGACUACAAAGCAAUGGAAAAAUCAAUAUCCCACUCCAGGGGUAGGCUAGAAAGGUCGGCAGGAAACAUAUCUGAGAAGUCUCAGACCAUAGGCACUGAAUCAACUAUAGGGCCCUCCCUACUAAUAUCUCUAACAUAAGCCAAAUAUGCUCAACACCUGCUUGCCACUAGCCUCCGAGCAUAUGCAUAACAACUCAACCCAACCAGCUUGCGAUUACGAGAGCCCUGCCACACCACCGGCGGAAUACUAGGCAUCACUAAAGUAAUAGUCUUUGCAUAGCAAUAUAAGACAGCUCACCGAGGGGAUAACUAGUCCAUGCCUAAGAUCAAAUCAAAAUCCAUCAUACUUAAAUAAUAAGAUCCGCUCGGGUAUCCUGCCAAAAAAUAGACACCUCACAGAAUCUACAAACCCGAUACACUACUAAAGAAUCCCCUACUGGGUCGAAACAUGCAAUGGUACCACUAAGUACUCAGGACUCACCCCUAACCGAGGAGCACAUUAAGCAUACACAUAAGAAUAAGUAGAACUAGGAUCAAAUAAGGAUAAAGCAGACUGACGGCAUGAGAGAACCGUACUAUUGAUCACAUCAUCUGACGCCCAGCCUCUACUCUAGCUAGAGAUCCUAGAAAUGUACAUGGGUUCCUUUACCACGCGCAUCCACUCUACCACCUGCGUUGCCUCCCCCGGGACUUUGUCAAACACCCUGAUGCUGACCUCCUCCUUUAGAUGGAGGGGCUACUACUUCUACUGAUUUUGUUGCCUCAUUAGCUGGUAAGGCUGAUAUAGAGCUAAGGCACUCACUAUACCAAUGAUCAAGCUCCCCAAAAGUGAAGCAACCCUGCGAUGAUCUUCCCGCUACUAGAGGUCGGCUACCCUGACCUGGUAAACCUAUUUAAAACCCACCUCGACCGUGACUCAAAUCAUCAUUAUAACCACCUUAACGGUGUUGGUCACUGUAUGAUAAUUGCAAUGAUGCCUAAAAUGGGAGACUAGGCUGACCUGACUGGAACCUCUAAUGAACCCGGUCUCGAUUAUCCCUAGGCCUAAAAUGACCCCCACUUAAGUUUUCAUCCUGCCUAGCCCUAUUGUCACUACCCACGUGAUCCUCGCGAUGGAGCUACUCAAGCGUGUAGGCAUGGUUUACUGCAUCCACAAAAGAGUGGCCCGCUGAAACCAUAGACUGCGACUCAAUACAUAGUUGCAACCUCAACCGUCUAACGAAACACCUGACUCUCUCCUCCUUUAUGUGAAAGAUCAUGGUGGCAAGACGGGAUAACUCAUGAAAUUUGGCUCAUACUCAGAUACCAUCUUGGAGCCCUACUCCAACCUCGAAAACUCAUUACGGAGCCAAUCUUUGACUCUCCAUGGGAUAAAUAUAGCCAGAAAAUCCUAAAAAAACUAUGUCCACAUCACUGGCGGGGACUCAACUUGUUUGGUCUUUAUGAAAGAGCGCCACCACUACCGGCCGACCCAUCUAACUGAUAAGCUAUAAAGCCAGAUCCUAUCGACUCCACUAACCUCAAAGUCCAUAGUCUCUCCCGACAAGUAUUAAGGAACUCCUGGGCAUCCUCACCAACUGCCCUAGAAAAACCUUGGCAGCGACACUCUCAAAAACACCCCGAGCAUUGUUGUUUGCGUAACCAAGACACAACUUCCAAUGGAAAUGUCUACGAUCGUACAAUAGUAAAGUAACUCAACNNNNNNNNNNNNNNNNNNNNNNNNNNNNNNNNNNNNNNNNNNNNNNNNNNNNNNNNNNNNNNNNNNNNNNNNNNNNNNNNNNNNNNNNNNNNNNNNNNNNNNNNNNNNNNNNNNNNNNNNNNNNNNNNNNNNNNNNNNNNNNNNNNNNNNNNNNNNNNNNNNNNNNNNNNNNNNNNNNNNNNNNNNNNNNNNNNNNNNNNNNNNNNNNNNNNNNNNNNNNNNNNNNNNNNNNNNNNNNNNNNNNNNNNNNNNNNNNNNNNNNNNNNNNNNNNNNNNNNNNNNNNNNNNNNNNNNNNNNNNNNNNNNNNNNNNNNNNNNNNNNNNNNNNNNNNNNNNNNNNNNNNNNNNNNNNNNNNNNNNNNNNNNNNNNNNNNNNNNNNNUUAAUGUAAACAUGUUAAAUCUAAGGGGUGAUGCAAGCGUCAAUUAUCAAUGGGGGUUUGUGACAAGUAAGCAAAAACAACAAAAAAUGCAAAGAGUACUAAUCAAUGCGACAGGAUUCUUGGGAUGUGAUAGGAACACGGGAUAAAAUUAAUGGGUACAUGCUUUUGAUAGAGAAUUUAUAGAAUAAUUGUGACUAGGCUAGACUUUAAAGGGGAUAAGCUCUCUCUCUAGCAACUUCCCUCGUUUCAAGUGGGUUUCUCUCGAACACCCUCUUGCCACAUGAAGAACAACCUCCGCCUUAGCCCACUCACUCUCUCGAGCUGAGUGUGUGGGAAUGAGACUAGGGUUUACUCUCUCGAUCAAAACCUCAUGUCGACCCAAUCCCGUUGGCCAUCAAUUUAGUAGUCUUACUUUUACGACCUCUCUCUCGAGCAAGCCGAAAACACAAAGGUGAAAUCGUAUUUUCAACUUUAAUUUCAUUAAGUUCCACCACAACUACUAAACGAAAUCACAUUUACACGACAAAUAAACCAUCAACAAGCAAGACCCAACAGAUAAUCUAAUCCAUAUUCAUAAAAUCACACCCCAAGGAUUGGGGUUUUAGCUAAACAUAUAAAAGAGAUAGAAAUUUAUACCAAAAUGAGUUUGCAUUCAAAUGGGUAUGAAGAUAAAAGUCUCAAAACAAGCAAUGAAAGAAGAAUCCACAAAACCUAAGUCCAAAAUCUUGGAGUUGAAACCCUUUGAAUCUUCAAGUUCUUCAAAACCCUCUCCAAACUUAGAACUCAAAAUUCUGUGUUAAAAAUUAUAUAUUGUAAAUCUGAUAUUAAACGAGUAUUUAUAGUUUUUAAAGAUUUGUGUUGCAGCGGAUCACUCGGUGACAUUAGUCAAAAUGACCGAUCAACUCGGCGAUUCGCCUUUUGGUGUAGUUCAUCGCCAUCUUGCAUUAGCCUUCAGCAUUGUCGUGUUUUGGAUCAUUAGGCGACCUAGUACUGCAUCGCAGAACUUUGGUUGAACCGUGGGCAGUGUUGGCGGAUACUGAACCUCUAGGCCGCUAUUGCAGGCUGACCCUGCGGUAUUGGAGUCGGCUCUAGAACUAGUGUUGGGGCCUGUUGCUGCUUCUGAUUGCUCCAAGAAACGCUAGAUUCUAUGUAAGCAUAGCCUGAAGAUCAAGGGCGGAAGCUGGUGCGGGUGGUGGCUGGGUGGGUCCCGGCCCCACUGGCGGAUCAACAAUCUGAUCUAACUAAGGUUCCCCCUCCGGUACCAAAGUCCUCCCUCUCUCUCAAGUUGCUGCUGCAGCCCGACCUCGACCUCGGGUUUGACCUUUAUUACUCAUGCCAAACAUCCUGUGAUACAAUGAAACAAGUAAGAUUCAAUGAAACCAAUUGGACAACUACACACGAAAAUUAUCCAAAAUAGGAAAACACCCUAAGGACAUCAUGUAGCCUCCCAAAGAUAAGUCACGGACGUCUCCGCGCCAAUUAUUAAUACUCUACUAGAUAUUAGCUCUGUACAAGUGAGAUCGACGAACCUGGAGCUUGAUACGAACUUAUUAACGACCCUAUUUCUCGAGCCAUGCUGGAGCCUACCAACCCCCAGUAGGCAAGCCAAACCCUAUCCCAGAACUUAAGAGUAAUGGGACUGAGGGGGGAAGUAACCUAAACUAAGCGAAGCAUAAAUAAAUAGAAUACAUAAGAGGAUGGCAGAAUCAAACCCAAAACUAUAUAUACAAAAGAUACCUCCUAGAACCUAGAAGUCAUAUGUACAGAACAUCUGAAAGAGUACAAAAUCAAGACUGCCUCAAAAAGUAAAAGGCAAGUCAAAUUGUAAAUACGGAAUGGAGACAUAAAAUCUAAGAACGCUAUGAGCUCACCCUCGUCUUCAAAACAAACUGUUGCAGGCUCGACCUCAACGCUGAUAGUUUGUGCUCGGACCUGUUUCACAAAAAUAGAUGCAGAGUGUAGUAUUAGUUACAAAAUAACAGGUACCCAAUAGGUAUCAUAGGUCGGCUGAGCAAGAAAGGUAAAAACAGACGGAAAAGAUAGAAUCAGACACAAAUAGAAAUCAAUAGAAAUAAGAGAGGAACAAUUAGAGAGCUAGACUAAGGAUAUUUAACCUAAACCAAACUAGGCCCUCCAUAAGACCUACUAGGUACACUGAUUCACAAACAAACAAGAACCCGAACAGACUAUGGAUCCCAAAGAAAACCCAACUCGAAACCUAUAUAACCAAUAACUCCAACCCAAUGAACAAGUCAGACUUCCACAUCAAGCCACCUAGAUCGCCAGCAACUUCGGGGCAUUACUCAGCCAGGCAAGUGUCAUGCAGGGGUAUAUCAAUCCCUUCAAAAACUCCUAAUUCAACUGCCCAAAAGGCUAACACUCCGCGGGCCCAACCUAAGCCAGCCAACUGUGACAUCUAACACUCACGGGGGACCUUCCCUAACAAAACAGAGUGUACAGUACUGUCAACUCCGAAGAGGACCUCAAGUAACUUAUAUCCAACUCCCCAACUAGCUAAUCACCCCGGGAUCCCUGCCCAAUGCCAUCCAGGUGAGUUAGCUAUAACUCUCAUGGGCCAUGCCAAAUGCCAACGAGAAGGUGCGGGUAAAAUCAACCCCAUAGCGGAUCUCAAAUUCCAAGCUAUCGUAGAUAGACAUCUACUACCAACCACAUCAAAAUGGUGAAUCAAUUCCAAGGCAUCAUGGAUUGACGUCCACUAUCAACUACCUCACACCAGAACCGACCGCGGAACACCCAACCCAGGAAAAUACUACGCCUCUAAUAAUGCAUAGACAUCAAAGAAAUGGGUAGAGAAGCCUGAAGGAUCACAAGCAAUAAGAAUCCCAAACCUAGAGUCAAUUAUCAAACCCAAGUGUGUUAUGCCGGGCCACAAGGACCUAAUCCAUCCGUAUCGACAUCGGAAUCCCUUUCCUAGAGCUUUUCUCUUCCGAACGGCCUCAGAUUGCUACCAGUCUAUCAAAAAUAGAAUCAUAGCAUCAACAUAGUCGUUAAUACAUUAAAAUCAUCAAAAUUGGAGAAAGUCCAAUUUCUGAGUAAAAAUCUAUAAAUGUGGGACUUGCUCUGGAAUUGACUCCGUGAAGAUGUCAUAAACCCUCCCCCAAGCUUGUCUUCCAAACGGAUUAUUUCUUGGGGCUCAAAACAGCUCCAUGCAAUAACAAACCAAAAUGCAUAACUUUACACAAAAAGAGACUUGGGGCAGACACUUACAACGCAGAUCCACCACAAACGGAGGCUUUCAGCCACGCUCCAUAAAGUCAUCGACAUAGCCAACACACCACCGAACACGCGGACUUUGAAUCACCCUAAACAAAGCUCUAGAACUCGAGAUAUUGAAGUUUAAAAAUGAGGCUGAAUCUUAUUUUUUAUUAUAUAAAUAACAACAGUUCUAGUCGGGUAAAGCUAAAUUUGGUUACCAAAAGACUAAAUUAUGGUCACUAAAGGUCUACAUUAGCAACACUAGACUUUGUUAUUUAUUUUUUAAAAGACUCUAAACAGACCCUCGAAAGUCGUUCGGGACCCGACGAAAAUAAACCAGAUAUGCUACCCCCCUUAAUUCAACAUUCCAAACUAGUGGUGCAGUCGGAAUUUCCGUACGAGGUCAAUUUGACAAAAAGUGGGCCCCAUAUCCUAAUGCCAUUUUUAGCAAAUUUUCACAACGGGACUCGAAAUAAAAUUGGAAGCCCCGGGAAAUGCACGAAGGGUCAUUCUAGACAAACCUCAACAUUCUGAAACUUACCAUGCUGGCAGAAUUCUCAUAUGAGCGUGUUUACUAAGAAUGUUGACCAAACUCAAACUUAAGCUAAAAUUCAAAGGCUAAAGCACCAAAUGGCCUCAAAUUCACACUGAAGGCCUUGGGACUCGUACCAACCAGUUUACUAGCCUAAUUUGGUCGCUCUGGAGCUGAUGCAACCAUCAGAAUUCCCAUAUCAGGUCGUUUACUUGAGGUUAUGCCUGGAAUUAAUGUUGGCAAAAGACGGUGGAGCUUGUCCACUCAUCCAAGCUUCGUACAUCUCUGUCAUUUGCUGUCUUAAUACCCUUACCUCUUCUGUUGACACUGUUUCUUGUGAAUCCAUCUGGUUUCGGACCUCAUCAUUGUCCGACUCACUUCCGUCUUUCUGGGCCAUUUUCUUUUUUCCUUUUGAUCUUGUAUUGUAGGGAUGAGAUGUCAGCUUAACCACAAGCCAAUCAUCUUUAACUUAACUGUGUGUAUUGACAAUAAAUCUUGUUAGGGUUAGACCUUCUUCAGUUAUAACACAUGUUGCACGUCAUGCGUACACAAGUCUUUUUAUUUAUAGAAUGAGUUUAGAAAGUCUAAUGUUUAAUCCUAACUAGCUUAACUAUAUUUAUUUUUUUAUUAUUUGUUUUUUUUUUUUUUUUUUUUAAAAUGAUGCAUUGAUUAAAUUCAUUUGGAUUGCGUACAUAACAAGCUUGAUAAAAAUGGUUAAGAUCCUUCCAUAAUUAUUUUUUUACUAAAUUUUUUUUUUGAACUUUUAAGAUAAAAUCUUUUGUUUUCUUGAUUUACUGAAAGAAAAUUAAGAAACAAUCUAUUUUUUAUCUUGAACAUCAUGCUAAAAUGAAAUAAAAAAUAAACAAAGAAAAAUAUUUUUUGACUUUUUGUUUGAGUGAUGAAUUUGAAAAGAUACAAAAAAAAUUGUUGAAUAAAAACUACGACUUAUUUUUAAAAAAAAAUUGAUGAAGAGCUUUUUUUUUAAAAAAAUUGAAUAAAGGUCACCGAACACAAAGAGAAUUGCCUAUAUAUCUCAUUGAGAUGAGAAUCAAGUGUGUGUAGUUCGUUCAGAUUGGACAAUUAAACUCUAUUGUUUUUUUGGAAGAUUAUAAAUUUGUUGACAAAUGCAACUAUAUUAUUCGUUUAAAGUGGUAUUAAAACUUUUGAAGUUUUUGUGAAUUAUAUAAAAGAAAAACUAAAAGAAUUCUUUUUUUUUUGUUGUUGUGAUUUUUGUUUAGAAAUAAAAAAAACUUUUUUUAUAAGAAAAAUGAAAAAAAAAAACUUCUUAAACAAGAAAAUCUCUUCUUUUUUUGUAAUUUAUUUUUCCCUAUGUCUUUCUUUUAAUGUAAAAAAUCUAAAAUAAACUUUUAUUUCAUUUUAUUGAUCACCACAGAUUUGAUUUAUAUACAAAGAAUUUUCAAAUAAAUACAUUUUCAAAUAGCAUAUAAAAUAAUUUAGAUAGGCAAAUAAAAUUGGAGUAUCUAUCUUAGACGAAUCAGAUCCCUAUGCCAAGUCUCAUUAAGUUAAAUACAAAUGAUUAAAAUAAAUAGAACCUACUAGGGAUAACCAUAUAUGGUUUCAGUUCUACUAAGGUUAAAUUUGAUGGAGAAAGGUAUCUAGACUAGAUGUAAAAUGAGCGGACAACUCGAGUUGGGGAGUAGCAACGUACCGGUAGCAGCGCUUUUCGGCUUUGUGCAUGGGUGCUUCCUAUCCUAAACAUAUGUGACUAAAAAUCAUUCACCAUGGACCAAAGAUCCACUGGCUAUCUUGAUAGAAGUGGGGUGCGCAGCCGCAAUUCUCAUAAUGGUAUUAUUGAAGACUCAGAAGGGGUGCGUGAGAGAAAACAGUUUAUGUGCAGUUCAAAAUAAUAUCAAAGUAGUAAAUAAGUAGCCAAUUAGCACAGUAAACAAUCAAAUACAAUAUCCCAAAAACAUGAAUAAAUAAAUAAAAGUCAUACAUAAGUCAAUAUUAUAAGCUCGAAUUCUGGUUAUCCCCAGCGGAGUCGCCAUCUAUCAUACCCCUGUUUUUCCUCAAAACGAAAUUAAUAGUUUUGAAAAAACAAAAGCUUUUUUUCAAUUACAGUGACAUUUCGAAAAUGAAUUAUUUUAAUUUUAGAGUCGCCACUUGAAAUUGAGUUUUGGUGUUCCAAGUCACCUUAUUUAAAUUCCUAAUCAAAAGAAAAUUUGACUCUUUAUUUUGUUUGGUCUACGAAAAUAGAGAUCGGGUAAGAAAUUCUAUUGACCGAGGGAAAUAUAUUAGGCAUCCCUCGAGUUUCGUGGUUCUAGCACGAUCGAUUCAUUGACCUUUGUAUGACUUGACUUAAUUUUUGGAUGUUAUAUUAUUAGCUUAAUAAUAAAAUCUUAUUUACCCUCAAUCUUUGAUUUAUUUUAAAUCUAUUUAAAAGUCAUCUUAUUUUAUAAGUGUGUUGACUUUCAUGCAUGCAUUUUUAUUAUUUAUUUAUUUAUUUUUCGUUGUAACGUUUUCCCUGUUUCCUUCUUUUCACUUUUUUUAAUUUUUAAUAUAUAUUUUUAUGCUUUCACCUUCUGCUUCAUUUUCCUUUUAUUUAUUGAUUUGUUUUUUUUUUAAAAUUUCAUUUGACACGUUUUCUUUACCUUUUCAUUAUAUUUUUUUAAGUAGUUCUUCUUAUUUUUGUUUUUUUUUUGUAUUUUAAUUUCUUCUUAGGCUUUUUCUAUUUAUUUUUAUUUUUCUCUUUACAUCAUCUUCUUCUUCUUCUAUUCUCCACGUUUCAGUUUGUUAAACCAUAAAUACAUGUUUCAUAAUAAAAGCAUCAAAAUAUUAAAAAAAAACAAGAAUAGACGUAAAUAAUAGUUUUACUUAAACAUGAAAUAAACUAAGAUUCGUUAAACCAUUUCGCACUAAGUCUAAUGAUAUUAAAGAUCUAAACAUAAAUUUGAUAUGAAAAUUUUGAAUAUGCUUUAUAUUAUAACAUCAAUGAAUAUUAAUGGUUUAAACACAUACAAAAUUUAACAAUUUCAAUAUAUUGCAACCAAUGCUUGUAUCACUAUACCAGAAUAAGGCUUUAGUGGCAAUUAAUUAAUUGCCGCUAAUUUAUACCCUAAAGUCACUUAUCAGCAGCAUUUAUGCUUUUGCAGGUAAAACAUACACCUUAUUAGUACAAAUCUUUUAGAAAAAAUAAUACGAAAAUCACCGCUACGGCUCUACUUCUCCCUCGCUAAAAUCACCUUAUUAGAAAAUCCUAAAGUCUCAUUUUAUGCUCUCUACUUCUCCCUCGCUAGGCGCUCUCUCUCUCGCAAUUAGUUCCCUAAAUCCCUGCCCUAGCUAUUUCAGUCCUCAAUUUCCUUCAAUUCGUAUUUGUAAAUGAAGUAUAAUUAGGGUUCAGUGGUAAGAAUCGAGUGCGGGGGGCUUUCAGAGCAAACAUCUAUGCUAAUCAGCUGGUGGAGACAGUAACAAUGAGGUCGAUAAAGGAUAGGCUUGGGCGCAACGCUUUUCACAAAUUGCCAGAGGUAGCAAAGAGGUCAAUUGGAUGAUUUCACUCAUCACUCGGCGGAAUCAAAUCACCGGCAAGAGGUGUUCCAUCUUUCUCUUCUUUUUACACUUCUUAUCACUUCUGGUAGCUUCAGAUUUUUAUAGUUUUUCAGUUUUUUCAUAUAUUCUGUCUUUGUACAUUUGUGAAUAUGCAUUUGAUUUGAUGUUUGAUAAACUGUUUCACUUAAAAUUUGUCCUUGAAUGUAUCACGAGUUCUUCUAUGUCAGACAUUUUGGUUUUCUCUUAUUCAAAUUAUAUAAGUGUUUUGUCACUACUGGGAUUUGAAGAGAAUUGAUAUUAGUAUUCUCAAAAGAUGAAUUCGUCUAAUCCGGUGUAGUUUGGAUGUUAAUCUAAUUAAUUGCCUUUUUUGCCCCUCUUUUGGUAAGUCAAGUAAAAAACUAGGUGUUUUUUGAGUAGUAGCAUGAGUAAAUGAUGAGUAGCAGAAAUGUUUUCUCAGAAGUGCAGAAAGCAACUUUCUUCAAAAGUCAAUUCCUGAAAAUUGGGCCAAGCACACAUUGAUAGUUUUCUAACUUGUUUUAUGCAAAUUGGGAAGCAUGUAUUUGCUUGGAGAGAGAUGCAACUACCAUUACUAAUCAAGUUUUGACAUUUAGCUAUAAUUUGAUUUUACUUUGUUAAUUGGUUUUGAAGCUAUAUGGGGUGGAUGCAGGCAUAUGUAUGUCAUAUAUACAGAUCUUCAAAAGAGGAGGAUUGAAAGAUUAGAACAUAGUAGAAUUCAUGCACAAUGACAUUGCCAAGAGCGAGUUGAAUCCUAGACCUGGAGUCAUAAUCAAUCAUCUGAAUGGUAGUGGUGUCUAUGUCGCAUGCCUAAGGUAAUAACCAUAUGUUAUAUCUUAUUGUUGUAUCCUUUCAUACGUAGUACACAUGCUCUUUUAACCCAAGUCCCAAAAGUAACUCGACAACUUCCCAAAUGUAAGAUCUUAUGUUGUGUUGUGGUUACAGUCAUAACAUUAUUGUCAUUUCUCUAUUGGAAAAUGUGGUGCAUCUAAUUCUUUGGAGGUUCGUUUAGUAAAAACAUUGAACCUCAAACUAGAAAUAUAGCUCUACUAGGAGAUGCAGAGGCUACCAACUGCUUAGGCAGUUUGAUAUCCUGGACUUGAAAGUUUUACGAGACCUAUAUUUGGGAGUAUGAAUCUGCAAACCAUAGGGAAACUCCUGGUUUUUCUUAUAUGACAUCGUAAUAAGAUUAACCGGUACCAAUCUAAUAGGCAAAGUGAAACUUUUUUUGGAUUCUUAUCAACUCAAAUUGGUUAACUGUUUUAAAAGAACAUGAAGUUUAUUAGUCCUUCAUGACAUCAAAAUUUUAUGACGUUUAAUUAAUAUGGUAUUGAUUCUAAUGAAAAAAAAUUCUUCUCUGUUUCCAAAUAGAUGGGGAUGUCAAGUGCACUGGACACAUUUUCUGGACAGUCUUAUGGAGCAAAACAGUAUCAUAUGCUUGGCAUUCUCAUGGAUAGAUCUAUGAUUAUACUUUCACUUUUAUGCAUACCUCUUGCAGUCAUUUGGGAAAACACUGGCUCUAUUCUCAUGUUUUUAGGCCAAGAUCCUAGUAUAUCUGAUGAAGCUGGUCAUUAUGCCUUGUAUUUCUUGGUGUUUUCUCUUACGGCUUGCUCCAAUGUGUUAUGAGAUUCUUACAAACACAAAGUAUUGUCAUCCCUAUGGUGUUAUAUGCUGGAGUUACAACCUUAAUCCGCAUCGUUGUCUGUUGGAUUUUGGUCUUCAAGAUUGGACUUGGUGUCAAAGGAGCUGCUCUAGCAAAUUCAAUCUCUUACUGGCUUAACUUCUUGUUUUUGGCUAUUUAUAUCAAGUUUUCUCCUACAUGUGCAAAGACUUGGACAGGACUGUCAAAAGAAGCUCUCAAGGAUAUGCUUGCUUUCAUUGGACUCGCGAUUCCCUCUGCCAUCAUGGUCUGGUCAGUCUACAUUUCUUGACUUGUUGUGCUGGUUUGUUUGUUGAUUUAACUUGUCUAAUUUGAUGAUUAUCAACAGCUUAGAAAUGUGGUCAUUUGAGCUAAUAGUUCUGCUUUCUGGCCUCCUUCCAAAUCCACAGUUGGAAACCUCAGUGCUUUCAAUCUGGUUCUAAUUGUGCACCUCUUAUUUAUCAAGCUAAUUUUUUUAUUUUCAAGUCUAACUGAUUUGUUUCAUUGUUUGCUAGAGCCUAGUCUUAAUACAUCUGCAAUAGUUUGGAUGAUCUCUAUUGGACUGAGUGGUACUGUGAGGUUAGCCAUCAAAAAGAAGAAGAAAAGAGGUAGUACUUGGUAGUUCUUUUCCUUCUGCUUCAGAAGAACAUAGAUAGUGCUAGUGCAUUCAGUUCUUCAGGCCACUAUUACUUUACAAGCUAAUACAGUAAGCAGUUUCAUGCAGAUAGGACUCUAAGAUGUUGCAUCAGCAAACAAUGCAAUCAACCUAAUGAUGCUUCUUCUGAAUUGACGUGCCGCCUGAUUGACCUAGCUACAAGUAUCAAAUAAAGUUGGCUCUAUUGAAGAUCCUCCUGAUAGCACAUCAUUGUUAUCCAUUUUGCCAUAGUUUCACUAGGAAAAAGAAGUAAUAGUUCAAUCUCCUUGUUUUUCCAUUGUUGAACACAUUCUCUCCGGGGUUUUUUUUUAUAACUUGAACAUAUUGUUGUUUUUAUAAUUCAUAUUUUUUUUACGAAGACAAGAAAGUAAAUGUAUUGAUUGUUCUUGUUUUAUAUGAAUGACGUUGUUUUAGUUUGGUAAU
This 23073-nucleotide long non-coding RNA is filed under the name Solanum tuberosum (potato). RNAcentral's name for it is "long non-coding RNA (STUB_LNC003666)". Lineage: Eukaryota; Viridiplantae; Streptophyta; Magnoliopsida; Solanales; Solanaceae. The record is from RNAcentral.